UUUCGGCCCCUUGGGUUUUUUAAUAACGCGUUUGGUGGUUUUGACCUUUUUGACAUCUCCGGUUUCAGUGCGUAUUUGUGUAACCUGAACAGUCUCGGGUUGUUCCUCGAUUGGUUCGGCUUUGUCUGGUUUGUGUAAGUCUUCAAGGGGUGUGGUGGUUUCGUCAGUGAAUUCCUCUGUUUUGUGUACAGUGACAAUGGGUUGUGAGUCAUCAGUUUGUUCUGUGGUGAUUUCUGUUGUUUCGACUUUCGGACCUACCUUCUUUUUGAUGACGCGUUUAGUGAUUUUCUUUUGUUUGGGCUUACCAUCAGGAGCAGUGGAUUCCUCGACGGUGGUUUCUUCGGGCAGUUCAACGAUUUCGACGGGCUUCGUUUCUUCUGUUUCUUCGGGAGUCUUUUCCUCGGUUACUGUGACCGUCGUUAUCGGAGCUUCGUCAUCUUUCUCGAUGGUUGUGAUUUCGGUGACUUCUUGUUUCGGUCCCUUCUGUUUUUUGAUGACGCGUUUGGUGGUUUUGACCUUUUUGACGUCUCCGGUUUCAGUGCGUAUUUGUGUAACCUGAACAGUCUCGGGUUGUUCCUCGACUGGUUCGGCUUUGUCAGGUGUGUGUAAGUGUUCAAGAGGUGUGGUGGUUUCGUCAGUGAAUUCCUCUGUUUUGUGUACAGUGACAAUGGGUUGUGAGUCGUCAGUGUGUUCUGUGGUGAUGUCGUGGUUUCUACUUUCGGACCUACCUUCUUUUUGAUGACACGUUUGGUUACUUUCUUUUGUACUUUCUUACCGUCAGGCGUCGUGGACUCCUCGACGAAGGUCUCCUCGGGUAAUUCGGUGACAGUAACGGGCUUGUCUUCUUUUUCUUCAGGAGCUUCUUCCUCAGUUACUGUGACCGUCGUUAUCGGAGCUUCGUCAUCUUUCUCGAUGGUUGUGAUUUCGGUGACUUCUUGUUUCGGUCCCUUCUGUUUUUUGAUGACGCGUUUGGUGGUUUUAACCUUUUUGACGUCUCCGGUUUCAGUGCGUAUUUGUGUAACCUGAACAGUCUCGGGUUGUUCCUCGACUGGUUCGGCUUUGUCAGGUGUGUGUAAGUGUUCAAGAGGUGUGGUGGUUUCGUCAGUGAAUUCCUCUGUUUUGUGUACAGUGACAAUGGGUUGUGUGUCGUCAGUGUGUUCUGUGGUGAUGUGUGUGGUUUCUACUUUCGGACCUACCUUCUUUUUGAUAACACGUUUGGUUACUUUCUUUUGUACUUUCUUACCGUCUGGCGUCGUUGUCUCCUCGACGAAGGUCUCCUCGGGUAAUUCGGUGACAGUAACGGGCUUGUCUUCUUUUUCUUCAGGAGUUUCUUCCUCAGUGACCGUAACAGUCGUGAUAGGAGCUUCGUCAUCUUUCUCGAUGGUUGUGAUUUCGGUGACUUCUUGUUUCGGUCCCUUCUGUUUUUUGAUGACGCGUUUGGUGGUUUUGACCUUUUUGACGUCUCCAGUUUCAGUGCGCACUUGUGUGACCUGAACAGUCUCGGGUUGUUCCUCGACUGGUUCGGCUUUGUCUGGUUUGUGUAAGUCUUCAAGAGGUGUGGUGGUUUCGUCAGUGAAUUCCUCUGUUUUGUGUACAGUGACAAUGGGUUGUGAGUCGUCUGUUUGUUCUGUGGUGAUUUCUGUUGUUUCGACUUUCGGACCUACCUUCUUUUUGAUGACGCGUUUAGUGAUUUUCUUUUGUUUGGGCUUACCAUCAGGAGCAGUGGAUUCCUCGACGGUGGUUUCUUCGGGCAGUUCAACGAUUUCGACGGGCUUCGUUUCUUCUGUUUCUUCGGGAGUCUUUUCCUCGGUUACUGUGACCGUCGUUAUCGGAGCUUCGUCAUCUUUCUCGAUGGUUGUGAUUUCGGUAACUUCUUGUUUCGGUCCCUUCUGUUUUUUGAUGACGCGUUUGGUGGUUUUGACCUUUUUGACGUCUCCGGUUUCAGUGCGUAUUUGUGUGACCUGAACAGUCUCGGGUUGUUCCUCGACUGGUUCGGCUUUGUCAGGUGUGUGUAAGUGUUCAAGAGGUGUGGUGGUUUCGUCAGUGAAUUCCUCUGUUUUGUGUACAGUGACAAUGGGUUGUGUGUCGUCAGUGUGUUCUGUGGUGAUGUGUGUGGUUUCUACUUUCGGACCUACCUUCUUUUUGAUAACACGUUUGGUUACUUUCUUUUGUACUUUCUUACCGUCUGGCGUCGUUGUCUCCUCGACGAAGGUCUCCUCGGGUAAUUCGGUGACAGUAACGGGCUUGUCUUCUUUUUCUUCAGGAGUUUCUUCCUCAGUGACUGUAACAGUCGUGAUAGGAGCUUCGUCAUCUUUCUCGAUGGUUGUGAUUUCGGUGACUUCUUGUUUCGGUCCCUUCUGUUUUUUGAUGACGCGUUUGGUGGUUUUGACCUUUUUGACGUCUCCGGUUUCAGUGCGUAUUUGUGUGACCUGAACAGUCUCGGGUUGUUCCUCGACUGGUUCGGCUUUGUCUGGUUUGUGUAAGUGUUCAAGAGGUGUGGUGGUUUCGUCAGUGAAUUCCUCUGUUUUGUGUACAGUGACAAUGGGUUGUGAGUCGUCUGUUUGUUCUGUGGUGAUUUCUGUUGUUUCGACUUUCGGACCUACCUUCUUUUUGAUGACGCGUUUAGUGAUUUUCUUUUGUUUGGGCUUACCAUCAGGAGCAGUGGAUUCCUCGACGGUGGUUUCUUCGGGCAGUUCAACGAUUUCGACGGGCUUCGUUUCUUCUGUUUCUUCGGGAGUCUUUUCCUCGGUUACUGUGACCGUCGUUAUCGGAGCUUCGUCAUCUUUCUCGAUGGUUGUGAUUUCGGUGACUUCUUGUUUCGGUCCCUUCUGUUUUUUGAUGACGCGUUUGGUGGUCUUAACCUUUUUGACGUCUCCGGUUUCAGUGCGUAUUUGUGUAACCUGAACAGUCUCGGGUUGUUCCUCGACUGGUUCGGCUUUGUCUGGUUUGUGUAAGUGUUCAAGAGGUGUGGUGGUUUCGUCAGUGAAUUCCUCUGUUUUGUGUACAGUGACAAUGGGUUGUGAGUCGUCUGUUUGUUCUGUGGUGAUUUCUGUUGUUUCGACUUUCGGACCUACCUUCUUUUUGAUGACGCGUUUAGUGAUUUUCUUUUGUUUGGGCUUACCAUCAGGAGCAGUGGAUUCCUCGACGGUGGUUUCUUCAGGCAGUUCAACGAUUUCGACGGGCUUCGUUUCUUCUGUUUCUUCGGGAGUCUUUUCCUCGGUUACUGUGACCGUCGUUAUCGGAGCUUCGUCAUCUUUCUCGAUGGUUGUGAUUUCGGUGACUUCUUGUUUCGGUCCCUUCUGUUUUUUGAUGACGCGUUUGGUGGU
Spodoptera frugiperda (fall armyworm) is the source of this 3326-nucleotide long non-coding RNA. RefSeq lists it as uncharacterized. The record is from RefSeq and is a predicted model, not a curated record. NCBI's taxonomy places the organism in Eukaryota, Metazoa, Arthropoda, Insecta, Lepidoptera, Noctuidae. The transcript is spliced from 3 exons.